AUUGAACGCUGGCGGCAGGCCUAACACAUGCAAGUCGAGCGAGCGGCGGACGGGUGAGUAAUGUAUGGGGAACUGCCCGAUAGAGGGGGAUAACUACUGGAAACGGUAGCUAAUACCGCAUACUAUCAGAUGAGCCCAGAUGGGAUUAGCUUGUGGGUGGGGUAAUGGCUCACCUGGGCGACGAUCCCUAGCUGGUCUGAGAGGAUGACCAGCCACACUGGAACUGAGACACGGUCCAGACUCCUACGGGAGGGAGCAGUGGGGAAUAUUGCACAAUGGGCGCAAGCCUGAUGCAGCCAUGCCGCGUGUGUGAAGAAGGCCUUCGGGUUGUAAAGCACUUUCAGCGAGGAGGCGUUACCCGCAGAAGAAGCACCGGCUAACUCCGUGCCAGCAGCCGCGGUAAUAC
This 406-nucleotide ribosomal RNA is filed under the name uncultured bacterium. RNAcentral's name for it is "partial 16S ribosomal RNA". It matches the Rfam family "Bacterial small subunit ribosomal RNA", at positions 30 to 526 of the family's 1533-position model. The record is from RNAcentral.